This 497-nucleotide ribosomal RNA is filed under the name uncultured bacterium. RNAcentral's name for it is "partial 16S ribosomal RNA". It matches the Rfam family "Bacterial small subunit ribosomal RNA", at positions 28 to 507 of the family's 1533-position model. The record is from RNAcentral.
GAUGAACGCUGGCGGCGUGCCUAAUACAUGCAAGUCGAGCGAACAGACGAGGAGCUUGCUCCUCUGACGUUAGCGGCGGACGGGUGAGUAACACGUGGAUAACCUACCUAUAAGACUGGGAUAACUUCGGGAAACCGGAGCUAAUACCGGAUAAUAUAUUGAACCGCAUGGUUCAAUAGUGAAAGACGGUUUUGCUGUCACUUAUAGAUGGAUCCGCGCCGCAUUAGCUAGUUGGUAAGGUAACGGCUUACCAAGGCGACGAUGCGUAGCCGACCUGAGAGGGUGAUCGGCCACACUGGAACUGAGACACGGUCCAGACUCCUACGGGAGGCAGCAGUAGGGAAUCUUCCGCAAUGGGCGAAAGCCUGACGGAGCAACGCCGCGUGAGUGAUGAAGGUCUUCGGAUUGUAAAACUCUGCUAUUAGGGAAGAACAAAUGUGUAAGUAACUAUGCACGUCUUGACGGUACCUAAUCAGAAAGCCACGGCUAACUACGUG